UACGUAGGGGGCAAGCGUUAUCCGGAUUCACUGGGCGUAAAGGGAGCGCAGGCGGCACGGCAAGUCUGGUGUGAAAGCCCGGGGCCCAACCCCGGGACUGCAUUGGAAACUGCCGGGCUGGAGUGCCGGAGGGGUAAGCGGAAUUCCUGGUGUAGCGAUGAAAUGCGCAGAUAUCAGGAAGAACACCGGUGGCGUAGGCGGCUUACUGGACGGCAACUGACGCUGAGGCUCGAAAGCGUGGGGAGCGAACAGG
This 253-nucleotide ribosomal RNA is filed under the name uncultured bacterium. RNAcentral's name for it is "partial 16S ribosomal RNA". It matches the Rfam family "Bacterial small subunit ribosomal RNA", at positions 524 to 776 of the family's 1533-position model. The record is from RNAcentral.